AUUUUUCUUAAACUAUAAGUAAUAGGUCAACUAUAUAUGUUGUAUAGAAGCAUUGUUAGCUGUACAUGUCUGCCUGUCAUGGUUCAUCUGACCUUGACCUCAUUUCAUGGUUCAUUGGUCUUUGUUUAGUUAUUUUGGUUAAUGUUAAGUUUAUGAGACAGUUGUAAUAAAGCUUUAUACUUAGGACUAUCAACAUAAUAUCAAUGAUUAGUAUAGAAGGCGAGACAUUUCAGCGUGUGCACUCUUGUUAUUCGUUGGAUACCAAUUUUCGUGGGUUUCGUAGAUCUACAUACAGGUUAACCACGAAAUCAAAUGUUCAACGAAUUACAAAUAUCAUAGGCUUUGUAUACAGAGAUUGCUAAACCACGAAAUCAAAUAUCCACGAAACAGCAAGUUUUCCUCUAUCCACGAUAAUUGAUACCCACAAAAAUAAAUGAAUCCACAGUAGUAUAUUUAUCUUAAAAAAUGGUUGUAAACUAUUCUGAUGCUAUGUGUAUAAAUGAAAUGUGUUUUUUUAAUAAAUAUAACAUGAAGAAGCUGAAUGUGUAACAUGAAUGUAAGUACAAAGUCAGUGUACAGUUUGUUUAAAGUUUUUUCCUAAUUUGGACAACACUUUAACAAAACUGACUGGCUCCUGUUUGGCCAGAGGUACUACUUCCAAUCCUAUUGCCUCAUUUUAGAAAAAUUAAACACUUUUUGAAAAUAAGAUAUUGAAAUCUUUUGGAGGGAAAAAAAGUUUGU
Molecule: long non-coding RNA, 741 nt
Filed under: Mytilus galloprovincialis (Mediterranean mussel)
Lineage: Eukaryota; Metazoa; Mollusca; Bivalvia; Mytilida; Mytilidae
Source: RNAcentral